GACGAACGCUGGCGGCGUGCUUAACACAUGCAAGUCGAACGGGAUUUAGUAGACAGAAGCCUCGGCUAAAGAUUACUAAUGAGAGUGGCGAACGGGUGAGUAACGCGUGAGCAACCUGCCUAUGACAGUGGGAUAGCCUCGGGAAACCGGGAUUAAUACCGCAUAAAAUCGUAGAAACACAUGUUUCAACGGUCAAAGAUUUAUCGGUCAUAGAUGGGCUCGCGUCUGAUUAGCUAGUUGGUGAGAUAACAGCCCACCAAGGCGACGAUCAGUAGCCGGUCUGAGAGGAUGAACGGCCACAUUGGAACUGAGACACGGUCCAGACUCCUACGGGAGGCAGCAGUGGGGAAUAUUGCACAAUGGGGGAACCCCUGAUGCAGCGACGCCGCGUGAACGAAGAAGGUAUUCGUAUCGUAAAGUUCUGUCCUAUGGGAAGAUAAUGACAGUACCAUAGAAGAAAGCUCCGGCUAAAUACGUG
RNAcentral lists this ribosomal RNA (478 nucleotides) under uncultured bacterium. Its description in RNAcentral is "partial 16S ribosomal RNA". It matches the Rfam family "Bacterial small subunit ribosomal RNA", at positions 28 to 507 of the family's 1533-position model. The record is from RNAcentral.